Molecule: long non-coding RNA, 275 nt
Filed under: Phascolarctos cinereus (koala)
Lineage: Eukaryota; Metazoa; Chordata; Mammalia; Diprotodontia; Phascolarctidae
Description: lncRNA (ENSPCIG00000036530.1)
Source: RNAcentral
UUUCACUUCAUAAUUUUGAGGCCGAGAAAACAACAGCCCCCAAAUGAAUGGUAACUUUUAACACUACAAGUGCAAAACAAUUGAUCUUCAUUUAUGGAGAAUGUUCCCUACACCGGUGUAAACACAUAUCCAUUAAAAAAAAAGAUGAAGUAGGCAUCUAGGCAUUGUGGUGGGCUGAUGAUACAAAGACAAAAAGAGAAAGAAAAAAGCAGGGAACAGACCCUGUCUCUGGGGCACAACAUGUAAACAAAUAAAUGCCCCCAUAGCAACCUGCA